UGAGCCGCUGGCUGGCCGCAACAGAUC
Molecule: unclassified non-coding RNA, 27 nt
Filed under: Mus musculus (house mouse)
Lineage: Eukaryota; Metazoa; Chordata; Mammalia; Rodentia; Muridae
Description: oocyte_clustered_small_RNA14193
Source: RNAcentral